Photorhabdus luminescens is the source of this 178-nucleotide non-coding RNA. NCBI's taxonomy places the organism in Bacteria, Pseudomonadati, Pseudomonadota, Gammaproteobacteria, Enterobacterales, Morganellaceae. The record is from Rfam.
UCAAACUUAAACUGGCUCCUAUAAGGGGCCAGUGCAAACGCAACAGUUUUGUCGGGGGUUCCUGUAACAGGUCUGUUGCGUGUGCGUUUUUAUUUGACGAAUUCUGACCGAUAUUGGUAGCACAUGAAUCCCAUCGUAAUUAACAGAUUGCAGCGUAAGCUGGGGUACACUUUUGAUC